AUCCAACUGACGAGUCCCAAAUAGGACGAAACGCGAGUCAAACUGGAU
This is a non-coding RNA of Schistosoma mansoni, 48 nucleotides long. NCBI's taxonomy places the organism in Eukaryota, Metazoa, Platyhelminthes, Trematoda, Strigeidida, Schistosomatidae. The record is from Rfam.